This 148-nucleotide small RNA is filed under the name Chelonoidis abingdonii (Abingdon island giant tortoise). RNAcentral describes it as "TUC338 (ENSCABG00000021721.1)". The record is from RNAcentral. Lineage: Eukaryota; Metazoa; Chordata; Testudines; Testudinidae.
AUGAAAGAUACCAGUUUGAAACAGGUCUAUCCACAGAAGAGAUACAGCAUGAGGCAGUAGCAGUGCAUGCUUCCUCAGUUCUCUUUUGGACAGGCCAUCUCUAAUGGUGAGAGGGGAAUUCAGAUUCCAUCUCCAUAAGAGUGUCGCA